Molecule: ribosomal RNA, 497 nt
Filed under: uncultured bacterium
Lineage: Bacteria
Description: partial 16S ribosomal RNA
Rfam family: Bacterial small subunit ribosomal RNA
Source: RNAcentral
GAUGAACGCUGGCGGCGUGCCUAAUACAUGCAAGUCGAGCGGAAAGACGCGGCGCUUGCUCCUCUGACGUUAGCGGCGGACGGGUGAGUAACGCGUGGAUCACCUACCUAUCAUUCGGGGAUAACUUCGGGAAACCGGCGCUAAUACCGGAUAAUAUAUUGAACCGCAUGGUUCAAUGGUGAGAGACGGCUUUGCUGGCACUUCUAGCUGGUUCUGGGCCGCAUUAGCUAGUUGGUAAGGUCACGGCUUACCAAGGCGACGAUGCGUAGCCGACCGGAGGGAGGGAUCGGCCGCACGGGAAGGGAGACACGGACCAGACGCCUACGGGACGCAGCAGAAGGGAAUGGGAGGCAAUGGGCGAAAGCAUGACGGAGUAAGGCCGCGCGAGUGACGAAGGCGUUGGGAUCGUAAAGCCCUGUUAUGGGGUAAGAACAACUGUGGAAGUAAAUAUGCACGUAGUGACGGUACCUAAUCAGGAAGCAACGGCUAACUACGUG